AUUGAACGCUGGCGGCAGGCUUAACACAUGCAAGUCGAGCGGGGAAGGGUAGCUUGCUACCUGACCUAGCGGCGGACGGGUGAGUAAUGCUUAGGAAUCUGCCUAUUAGUGGGGGACAACAUUCAGAAAGGAAUGCUAAUACCGCAUACGUCCUACGGGAGAAGGCAGGGGACCUUCGGGCCUUGCGCUAAUAGAUGAGCCUAAGUCAGAUUAGCUAGUUGGUGGGGUAAAGGCCUACCAAGGCGACGAUCUGUAGCGGGUCUGAGAGGAUGAUCCGCCACACUGGGACUGAGACACGGCCCAGACUCCUACGGGAGGCAGCAGUGGGGAAUAUUGGACAAUGGGCGCAAGCCUGAUCUAGCCAUGCCGCGUGUGUGAAGAAGGCCUUUUGGUUGUAAAGCACUUUAAGCGAGGAGGAGGCUACCGAGAUUAAUACUCUUGGAUAGUGGACGUUACUCGCAGAAUAAGCACCGGCUAACUCUGUGCCAGCAGCCGCCGUAA
Molecule: ribosomal RNA, 501 nt
Filed under: uncultured bacterium
Lineage: Bacteria
Description: partial 16S ribosomal RNA
Rfam family: Bacterial small subunit ribosomal RNA
Source: RNAcentral